UACGUAGGGUGCAAGCGUUUGUCCGGAAUUAUUGGGCGUAAAGAGCUCGUAGGCGGUCUGUCGCGUCUGCUGUGAAAACUCAGGGCUUAACCCCUGAGCUUGCAGUGGGGUACGGGCAGACUAGAGUGCGGUAGGGGAGACUGGAAUUCCUGGUGUAGCGGUGAAAUGCGCAGAUAUCAGGAGGAACACCGGUGGGCGAAGGCGGGGUCUCUGGGGCCGUAAACUGACGCUGAGGAGCGAAAAGCAUGGGGGAGCAACGGACUA
RNAcentral lists this ribosomal RNA (264 nucleotides) under uncultured bacterium. RNAcentral's name for it is "partial 16S ribosomal RNA". It matches the Rfam family "Bacterial small subunit ribosomal RNA", at positions 524 to 780 of the family's 1533-position model. The record is from RNAcentral.